GACGUAGGGCGCGAGCGUUGUCCGGAUUUAUUGGGCGUAAAGAGCUCGUAGGCGGCUUGUCGCGUCGUUCGUGAAAACCCGGGGCUCAACCCCGGGCUUGCGGGCGAUACGGGCAGGCUAGAGUUCGGUAGGGGAGACUGGAAUUCCUGGUGUAGCGGUGAAAUGCGCAGAUAUCAGGAGGAACACCGGUGGCGAAGGCGGGUCUCUGGGCCGAUACUGACGCUGAGGAGCGAAAGCGUGGGGAGCGAACAGG
RNAcentral lists this ribosomal RNA (253 nucleotides) under uncultured bacterium. Its description in RNAcentral is "partial 16S ribosomal RNA". It matches the Rfam family "Bacterial small subunit ribosomal RNA", at positions 524 to 776 of the family's 1533-position model. The record is from RNAcentral.